Molecule: transfer RNA, 105 nt
Filed under: Pyrolobus fumarii 1A
Lineage: Archaea; Thermoproteati; Thermoproteota; Thermoprotei; Desulfurococcales; Pyrodictiaceae
Rfam family: tRNA
About the family: Transfer RNA (tRNA) molecules are approximately 80 nucleotides in length. Their secondary structure includes four short double-helical elements and three loops (D, anti-codon, and T loops).
Source: Rfam by way of RNAcentral
GCCGCCGUAGCUCAGCGGGCAGAGCGCCGGCCUUGUACGGCCUGGCCUCGCUCCGAGGUCGCCCAAGAGAGCCGGUGGUCCCGGGUUCAAGUCCCGGCGGCGGCU